ACUCCUACGGGAGGCAGCAGUAAGGAAUAUUGGACAAUGGGCGGAAGCCUGAUCCAGCCAUCCCGCGUGUAGGAAGACUGCCCUAUGGGUUGUAAACUACUUUUACUAGGGAAGAAGAGCAGUUAUUAAUAACUGUGUGACGGUACCUAGAGAAUAAGCACCGGCUAACUCCGUGCCAGCAGCCGCGGUAAUACGGAGGGGUGCGAGCGUUAUCCGGAAUUACUGGGGUUUAAAGGGUGCGUAGGUUGCGUAAUAAGUCAGAGGUGAAAGGCACGAGCUUAACUGGUGAAUUGCCUUUGAUACUGUUAUGCUUGAAUUAAGUUGAGGUUAGCGGAAUGUGACAUGUAGCGGUGAAAUGCAUAGAUAUGUCAUAGAACACCAAUUGCGUAGGCAGCUAGCUAGGCUUAUAUUGACGCUGAGGCACGAAAGCGUGGGGAGCGAACAGGAUUAGAUACCCUGGUAGGAUAGCG
This 470-nucleotide ribosomal RNA is filed under the name uncultured bacterium. RNAcentral describes it as "bacterial SSU rRNA". It matches the Rfam family "Bacterial small subunit ribosomal RNA", at positions 335 to 799 of the family's 1533-position model. The record is from RNAcentral.